This 498-nucleotide ribosomal RNA is filed under the name Alkalibacterium sp. M11-C10. RNAcentral's name for it is "bacterial SSU rRNA". It matches the Rfam family "Bacterial small subunit ribosomal RNA", at positions 1 to 487 of the family's 1533-position model. The record is from RNAcentral. Lineage: Bacteria; Bacillati; Bacillota; Bacilli; Lactobacillales; Carnobacteriaceae. RNAcentral also lists the same sequence under 1 other name.
UGAGCUUGAUCCUGGCUCAGGACGAACGCUGGCGGUAUGCCUAAUACAUGCAAGUCGAACGCUGAAGCACUCUGCUUGCAGAGUGUGGAUGAGUGGCGAACGGGUGAGUAACACGUGGGGAACCUGCCCAUAAGAGGGGGAUAACAUCCGGAAACGGGUGCUAAUACCGCAUAGGUGAUCAUAGCGCAUGCUUAGAUCAUUAAAGAUGGCUUCGGCUAUCGCUUAUGGAUGGCCCCGCGGCGUAUUAGCUAGUUGGUGAGGUAAUGGCUCACCAAGGCUGUGAUACGUAGCCGACCUGAGAGGGUGAUCGGCCACACUGGAACUGAGACACGGUCCAGACUCCUACGGGAGGCAGCAGUAGGGAAUCUUCCACAAUGGGCGAAAGCCUGAUGGAGCAAUACCGCGUGAGUGAAGAAGGUCUUCGGAUCGUAAAGCUCUGUUGUUAGAGAAGAACAAGAGGUGUAGUAACUGGCACCUCCUUGACGGUAUCUAACCAGA